AUACUUGGUCGGGGGUGGCGGGGGUGGGGGUGGGGGUGGGGGUUGGGGGAAGCUGCUAAGAGCAUGGAUUUGCUUGGAGGCCCAAAUCUCGCCUGCUGGGGCCGCCUCCGAGGCAUCCGGGGGCUGCAGGGUCAUGGCGGAGGCACUGCCCUCUCGCGAUGGGAGAUAGACACUGUGCCAUGAGGACACCGCUGCCUCCACUCAGGUGCCGCUCCUACAGGCUUCCCUCCAGCUGGCCCUUCCUGCCAGGCCCUGGGACCACAAGUAGGAAUGGUCGGUCAUCCUCAUCUCACAGAUGAGGAUGCCAAGGCUAGCAGAUGGUCACGCGGCUAAGAGACUGGGGCCCAGCUCAGGUGUGUCUGAGGCUCCUCCUCCCUCACCCCGUUCAUCACCUGCUGGGCUGCAAACCAUGUGUUCACUUGUUCAACAGACACGGGAGCAGACACGCUGUCAGCAUGGGAAACCAGAGGGAACCCGAUGUGAAGACGCGGGAGAAGAUGGCGACUUAGACGCCAGGAGAGGGGCCCUGGGACGGGUCCUUCCUUGCAGCCUCAGAAGUAGCGAGCCCUGCCCGCACCUUGAUCUGGGACUUCUGGCCUCCAGAAUUGUGGGAGGAUGCACAUCUGCCAGUCCAGCCCCCAUCUGUGUGCUCUGUCGUGGGAGUGUGGGAAACCAGCAGGAGCACUUCUCAGCUUACAAUGCAGGUCCGUCCUGAUGAACCCGGGGCAAGCUCGUGACAUCACUAAGUUGAGACUUCACUGACUGCACCUAACCUAGCGAACAUCACAGCUCAGCCCAGCCUACCAGAAAUAUGCUCAGAACACCUACACCAGCCCACAGCUGGGCACACGCAUCUAACGCAAAGCCUGUUUUAUAAUCCAAUGUUGACUGUCUCACGUAAGAGUACUGUACCACAGAUUGCUAGCCCAGAAAAAAAUCAAAAUUCAAAAUUCA
Molecule: long non-coding RNA, 954 nt
Organism: Pongo pygmaeus (Bornean orangutan)
Lineage: Eukaryota; Metazoa; Chordata; Mammalia; Primates; Hominidae
Exons: 3
Source: RefSeq, a predicted model, not a curated record